GGUCCGGGCGUUAUCCGGAUUUAUUGGGUUUAAAGGGAGCGUAGGCCGUUGUUUAAGCGUGUUGUGAAAUGUCCCGGCUCAACCGUGGCACUGCAGCGCGAACUGGACGACUUGAGUGCGCGGAACGUAUGCGGAAUUUGUGGUGUAGCGGUGAAAUGCUUAGAUAUGACGAAGAACUCCGAUAGCGAAGGCAGCCUGCUGGGGUGGCAUUGACGCUGAGGCUCGAAAGCGCGGGUAUC
This 239-nucleotide ribosomal RNA is filed under the name uncultured bacterium. Its description in RNAcentral is "partial 16S ribosomal RNA". It matches the Rfam family "Bacterial small subunit ribosomal RNA", at positions 531 to 769 of the family's 1533-position model. The record is from RNAcentral.